This 439-nucleotide long non-coding RNA is filed under the name Malus domestica (apple). Its description in RNAcentral is "long non-coding RNA (MDOM_LNC005706)". The record is from RNAcentral. Lineage: Eukaryota; Viridiplantae; Streptophyta; Magnoliopsida; Rosales; Rosaceae.
AACAAUGUUCUUUAUUAAUCAAUGAUUGGAUUAUGGUAAUCUAAUUAAUUAUCUCUAUAGUAGAGAUGAUAUGGUAGUGUUAACUGUUUAGAAAAUAAUGAUGCUUAAAACCCAAAAGAUUGCAAGGUAGUGACUAAUCUCAACUAAAGUUGUGAUACCUCUAAAACAUAAAUUACGAGUUGGUCAUAAAUGGACGCUUUGGAUCGUUAGAUCCGGAUCCAAUACCUUCUUGUUAAAAUUGUAUGGAGGCGAAAUGUUCGAAUCUUUAUUCUUUUGGAAAGAAGAAAGAAUCACAAAGUUGUUGAGGGUAAUUCACUUAGAUGUUAGUGGCACUUGUCCACAAACAUAAUACUACUCAUGUUGAAUUACAUUCACCGAAGAUCACUCUCGGUUGGACUAUAGUUUAUUUUGAAUAAACACAAGUCCGAAUACUUUGCAA